GACGAACGCUGGCGGCGUGCUUAACACAUGCAAGUCGAACGGAAAGGCCCUGCUUUUGUGGGGUGCUCGAGUGGCGAACGGGUGAGUAACACGUGAGUAACCUGCCCUUGACUUUGGGAUAACUUCAGGAACUGGGGCUAAUACCGGAUAGGAGCCCCUGCUGCAUGGUGGGGGUUGGAAAGUUUCGGCGGUUGGGGAUGGACUCGCGGCUUAUCAGCUUGUUGGUGGGGUAGUGGCUUACCAAGGCUUUGACGGGUAGCCGGCCUGAGAGGGUGACCGGCCACAUUGGGACUGAGAUACGGCCCAGACUCCUACGGGAGGCAGCAGUGGGGAAUAUUGCACAAUGGGCGGAAGCCUGAUGCAGCAACGCCGCGUGCGGGAUGACGGCCUUCGGGUUGUAAACCGCUUUCGCCUGUGACGAAGCGUGAGUGACGGUAAUGGGUAAAGAAGCACCGGCUAACUACGUG
RNAcentral lists this ribosomal RNA (467 nucleotides) under uncultured bacterium. Its description in RNAcentral is "partial 16S ribosomal RNA". It matches the Rfam family "Bacterial small subunit ribosomal RNA", at positions 28 to 507 of the family's 1533-position model. The record is from RNAcentral.